RNAcentral lists this ribosomal RNA (746 nucleotides) under uncultured archaeon. RNAcentral's name for it is "bacterial SSU rRNA". It matches the Rfam family "Archaeal small subunit ribosomal RNA", at positions 42 to 788 of the family's 1478-position model. The record is from RNAcentral.
GAUUAAGCCAUGCGAGUUAAAUGUUCUUCGUGAACAUAGCAGACUGCUCAGUAACACGUGGAUAACCUGCCCUUAGGACUGGCAUAACCCCGUGGAAACUGGGGAUAAUUCGGGAUAGAUCAUAAAUGCUGGAAUGCUUUAUGAUUGAAAGGUUUCGACCGCCUUAGGAUGGAUCUGCGGCCUAUCAGGUUGUAGUGGGUGUAAUGUACCUACUAGCCUACGACGGGUACGGGUUGUGGAAGCAAGAGCCCGGAGAUGGAUUCUGAGACAUGAAUCCAGGCCCUACGGGGCGCAGCAGGCGCGAAAACUUUACAAUGCGGGAAACCGUGAUAAGGGAACACUGAGUGCUAGCAUUUAUGUUAGCUGUCCACAUGUGUAAAUAGCAUGUGAUAGCAAGGGCUGGGCAAGACCGGUGCCAGCCACCGCGGUAACACCGGCAGCCCGGGUGGUGAUCACUAUUAUUGGGUCUAAAGGGUCCGUAGCCGGUUUAAUCAGUCUUCUGGGAAAUCUAAUCGCUUAACUAUUAGGCUUCCAGGGGAUACUGUUAGACUUGGGACCGGGAGAGGUAAGAGGUACUGCAGGGGUAGGAGUGAAAUCUUGUAAUCCCUGUGAGACCACCAGUGGCGAAGGCGUCUUACCAGAACGGGUCCGACGGUGAGGGACGAAAGCUGGGGGCACGAACCGGAUUAGAUACCCGGGUAGUCCCAGCUGUAAACGAUGCUCGUUAGGUGUCAGGAACGGUGCGA